Molecule: long non-coding RNA, 275 nt
Filed under: Homo sapiens (human)
Lineage: Eukaryota; Metazoa; Chordata; Mammalia; Primates; Hominidae
Description: HSALNT0065673
Source: RNAcentral
GGUUUCCAGUCACCAUGGUCAGGCAUCAUCGUUGAACCAGUGUUUCCAGGGGACACUCUUUAGGAGCCUGGCGGUGUCACUGACCCACAAGGAAAGGAGCGUUACCAUCAGUGUCGGAAUGGAUGACAUCAACAAACUGCGCAUCACUGGGAUCUAAUCUGUCUUGGAAAUGUUAAGGAAAUGAUACAGGCUUCCUAUAUCUUUUUCCUUAAAAACGACUCUAUGGACUUAAGUUCACCGAAGGAAGUGGAAUGAUGACAUGCAAAAUGACAACA